GUUAAUGUAGCUUAAACCCAUAAAGCAAGGCACUGAAAAUGCCUAGAUGAGUCGCUAGACUCCAUAAACA
This 70-nucleotide transfer RNA is filed under the name Crossarchus platycephalus (flat-headed kusimanse). Its description in RNAcentral is "tRNA-Phe". It matches the Rfam family "tRNA". Rfam says of the family: Transfer RNA (tRNA) molecules are approximately 80 nucleotides in length. Their secondary structure includes four short double-helical elements and three loops (D, anti-codon, and T loops). Lineage: Eukaryota; Metazoa; Chordata; Mammalia; Carnivora; Herpestidae. The record is from RNAcentral.